ACGGGUGAGUAAUGCCUAGGAAUCUGCCUGGUAGUGGGGGAUAACGUUCGGAAACGGACGCUGAUACCGCAUACGUCCUACGGGAGAAAGCAGGGGACCUUCGGGCCUUGCGCUAUCACAUGACCCUAGGUCGGAUUACCUAGUUGGUGAGGUAAUGGCUCACCAAGGCGACCAUCCGUAACUGGUCUGAGAGGAUGAUCAGUCACACUGGAACUGAGACACGGUCCAUACUCCUACGGGAGGCAGCAAUGGGGAAUAUUGGACAAUGGGCGAAAGCCUGAUCCACCCAUGCCGCGUGUGUGAAGAAAGUCUUCGGAUUGUAAAGCAUUUUACUUUGUGAGGAAGGGCAGUUACCUAAUACGUGAUUGUUUUGACGUUACCGACAGAAUAAGCACCGGCUAACUCUGUGCCAGCAGCCGCGGUAAUACAGAGGGUGCAAGCGUUAAUCGGAAUUACUGGGCGUAAAGCGCGCGUAGGUGGUUUGUUAAGUUGGAUGUGAAAUCCCCGGGCUCAACCUGGGAACUGCAUUCAAAACUGACUGACUAGAGUAUGGUAGAGGGUGGUGGAAUUUCCUGUGUAGCGGUG
RNAcentral lists this ribosomal RNA (585 nucleotides) under Pseudomonas sp. StFLB216. RNAcentral describes it as "bacterial SSU rRNA". It matches the Rfam family "Bacterial small subunit ribosomal RNA", at positions 102 to 683 of the family's 1533-position model. The record is from RNAcentral. Lineage: Bacteria; Pseudomonadati; Pseudomonadota; Gammaproteobacteria; Pseudomonadales; Pseudomonadaceae.